AGACUGGCGGUGGCAACAAUGACAAACUACAACGUCACAAAGGGCUUCAUGCGGUUCCUCGAAACACCCAAGAGAAGGCUUUAACGUUUCGUGCUCCUGGUUGUCUUCACCGCCUUCUUUGCUCUUUUCCUUCGCCUCAUGCCGCCACCGCUGCAAUAGCGGCACGUUCUGCCUUGUUAUUUUCACAGUUUACUCGCUCUCGACUUACAUACUAACCUACACUUUAAGCCUCACCCACAAAGUUUCAUUUCUACGAUGAUUUUGUUUUAUAAGAUUAUGGGCGUGGAGACUUGACUAUCUGUAGGCUCACAAACCACUUUGCAUGCCCCAUCUUCC
Molecule: long non-coding RNA, 336 nt
Filed under: Eucalyptus grandis
Lineage: Eukaryota; Viridiplantae; Streptophyta; Magnoliopsida; Myrtales; Myrtaceae
Description: long non-coding RNA (EGRA_LNC002257)
Source: RNAcentral